GUGGGGAAUCUUGCGCAAUGGGCGAAAGCCUGACGCAGCCAUGCCGCGUGAAUGAUGAAGGUCUUAGGAUUGUAAAAUUCUUUCACCGGGGACGAUAAUGACGGUACCCGGAGAAGAAGCCCCGGCUAACUUCGUGCCAGCAGCCGCGGUAAUACGAAGGGGGCUAGCGUUGCUCGGAAUUACUGGGCGUAAAGGGCGCGUAGGCGGAUCGUUAAGUCAGGGGUGAAAUCACAGAGCUCAACUCUGGAACAGCCCUUGAUACUGGCGAUCUUGAGUGUGAGAGAGGUAUGUGGAACUCCGAGUGUAGAGGUGAAAUUCGUAGAUAUUCGGAAGAACACCAGUGGCGAAGGCGACAUACUGGCUCAUUACUGACGCUGAGGCGCGAAAGCGUGGGGAGCAAACAGGAUUAGAUACCCCAGUAGUCC
Molecule: ribosomal RNA, 425 nt
Filed under: uncultured bacterium
Lineage: Bacteria
Description: partial 16S ribosomal RNA
Rfam family: Bacterial small subunit ribosomal RNA
Source: RNAcentral